This 1069-nucleotide ribosomal RNA is filed under the name Enterobacteriaceae bacterium AMF3714. RNAcentral's name for it is "bacterial SSU rRNA". It matches the Rfam family "Bacterial small subunit ribosomal RNA", at positions 48 to 1127 of the family's 1533-position model. Lineage: Bacteria; Pseudomonadati; Pseudomonadota; Gammaproteobacteria; Enterobacterales; Enterobacteriaceae. The record is from RNAcentral.
CAUACACAUGCAGUCGAGCGGUAGCACAGGGAGCUUGCUCCUGGGUGACGAGCGGCGGACGGGUGAGAAAUGUCUGGGAAACUGCCUGAUGGAGGGGGAUAACUACUGGAAACGGUAGCUAAUACCGCAUAACGUCGCAAGACCAAAGAGGGGGACCUUCGGGCCUCUUGCCAUCAGAUGUGCCCAGAUGGGAUUAGCUAGUAGGUGGGGUAACGGCUCACCUAGGCGACGAUCCCUAGCUGGUCUGAGAGGAUGACCAGCCACACUGGAACUGAGACACGGUCCAGACUCCUACGGGAGGCAGCAGUGGGGAAUAUUGCACAAUGGGCGCAAGCCUGAUGCAGCCAUGCCGCGUGUAUGAAGAAGGCCUUCGGGUUGUAAAGUACUUUCAGCGGGGAGGAAGGUGUUGAGGUUAAUAACCUCGUCAAUUGACGUUACCCGCAGAAGAAGCACCGGCUAACUCCGUGCCAGCAGCCGCGGUAAUACGGAGGGUGCAAGCGUUAAUCGGAAUUACUGGGCGUAAAGCGCACGCAGGCGGUCUGUCAAGUCGGAUGUGAAAUCCCCGGGCUCAACCUGGGAACUGCAUUCGAAACUGGCAGGCUAGAGUCUUGUAGAGGGGGGUAGAAUUCCAGGUGUAGCGGUGAAAUGCGUAGAGAUCUGGAGGAAUACCGGUGGCGAAGGCGGCCCCCUGGACAAAGACUGACGCUCAGUGCGAAAGCGUGGGGAGCAAACAGGAUUAGAUACCCUGGUAGUCCACGCCGUAACGAUGUCGACUUGGAGGUUGUUCCCUUGAGGAGUGGCUUCGGAGCUAACGCGUUAAGUCGACCGCCUGGGGAGUACGGCGCAAGGUAAAACUCAAAUGAAUGACGGGGGCCCGCACAAGCGGUGGAGCAUGUGGUUAAUUCGAUGCAACGCGAGAACCUUACCUACUCUGACAUUCAGAGAACUUUCCAGAGAUGGAUUGGUGCCUUCGGGAACUCUGAGACAGGGGCUGCAUGGCUGUCGUCAGCUCGUGUUGGAUGUUGAGUAAGUCCGGACAGGGCAACUUAUCUUGUGCCACGGUCCGACC